GAGUUUGUAUCCUGGCUCAGGACGAACGCUGGCGGCGUGCCUAACACAUGCAAGUCGAGCGGAGACGAGUGAGGUAGCUUGCUAUGAGCUGUUUAGCGGCGGACGGGUGAGUAACGCGUGAGCAACCUUUCCCAGACAGGGGAAUAACACACCGAAAGGUGUACUAAUACCGCACUAAGACCACGGAAUCACAUGGUUCUG
Molecule: ribosomal RNA, 201 nt
Filed under: uncultured bacterium
Lineage: Bacteria
Description: partial 16S ribosomal RNA
Rfam family: Bacterial small subunit ribosomal RNA
Source: RNAcentral